GACGGAAGGUGCAAGCGUUGCUCGGAAUCACUGGGCGUAAAGGGUGCGUAGGCGGCCGUGCAAGUCUGGCGUGAAAGCCCCGGGCUCAGCCCGGGAAGUGCGCUCGAAACUGCGCGGCUCGAGUGCCGGAGGGGAGAGUGGAAUUCCUGGUGUAGCGGUGAAAUGCGUAGAUAUCUGGAGGAAUACCGGUGGCGAAGGCGGCAUCCUGGACCGGCAUUGACGCUGAUGAGCGAAAGCUAGGGGAGCAAACGGG
This 253-nucleotide ribosomal RNA is filed under the name uncultured bacterium. Its description in RNAcentral is "partial 16S ribosomal RNA". It matches the Rfam family "Bacterial small subunit ribosomal RNA", at positions 524 to 776 of the family's 1533-position model. The record is from RNAcentral.